GAUGGGAAUCAGAUGAAAGUAGUGACUAUCUGAUCAUAUCUCACAGGAUAUGAGGAGAAAUUUCCACAGAAACAUUUCCUCACAGUAGAGGAGAGUGGCCGUGUGAGCUGAACCAAGCUCAAGGAUGUUCUCUCCUCUCAGGAAACCAGCACUGACCAGGUCCGUGUUGAAGAGAGCUAUUCAGCAGAAUCACAGGUCAACCAUCUACAGCAAGCCACCAAAGGAAAAGAUUGGGCCAAUGGAGUCUAUUUUUGCCCUAUGUGUGUUUGCUGUGACUCUCCUGGCCCCAGCUGGAUGGAUCAUGCAUCACAUCCCCGACUACCGGCAGAGAUCGCCUCCACAGCCGUGACUUCAGCAAGAACUCUGCAUUCAGACAGACAUGCAUGCAUUGUUAUUGCCUGCAACUCUUUCCAAUGUGUAAAAUAUUAGAAAUGGAAGUGAGAAAUAAAACAUUUGUCAGAUUUGAAGCAUGAUAAAACUGUAUAAAGACA
Long non-coding RNA from Lates calcarifer (barramundi perch), 491 nucleotides. RefSeq lists it as uncharacterized. The transcript is spliced from 2 exons. The record is from RefSeq and is a predicted model, not a curated record. Lineage: Eukaryota; Metazoa; Chordata; Actinopteri; Centropomidae.